GCGGCAGUGGUGUAGGGGUAACACAAUAGCCUUCCAAGCUCUUAUCACGGGUUCGAAUCCCGUCUGCCGCUC
This 72-nucleotide transfer RNA is filed under the name Ardenticatenaceae bacterium. Its description in RNAcentral is "tRNA-Gly". It matches the Rfam family "tRNA". Rfam says of the family: Transfer RNA (tRNA) molecules are approximately 80 nucleotides in length. Their secondary structure includes four short double-helical elements and three loops (D, anti-codon, and T loops). The record is from RNAcentral. Lineage: Bacteria; Bacillati; Chloroflexota; Ardenticatenia; Ardenticatenales; Ardenticatenaceae.